RNAcentral lists this ribosomal RNA (496 nucleotides) under uncultured bacterium. Its description in RNAcentral is "partial 16S ribosomal RNA". It matches the Rfam family "Bacterial small subunit ribosomal RNA", at positions 29 to 507 of the family's 1533-position model. The record is from RNAcentral.
AUGAACGCUGGCGGCGUGCCUCAUACAUGCAAGUCGAGCGAACAGACGAGGAGCUUGCUCCUCUGACGUUAGCGGCGGACGGGUGAGUAACACGUGGAUAACCUACCUAUAAGACUGGGAUAACUUCGGGAAACCGGAGCUAAUACCGGAUAAUAUAUUGAACCGCAUGGUUCAAUAGUGAAAGACGGUUUUGCUGUCACUUAUAGAUGGAUCCGCGCCGCAUUAGCUAGUUGGUAAGGUAACGGCUUACCAAGGCAACGAUGCGUAGCCGACCUGAGAGGGUGAUCGGCCACACUGGAACUGAGACACGGUCCAGACUCCUACGGGAGGCAGCAGUAGGGAAUCUUCCGCAAUGGGCGAAAGCCUGACGGAGCAAUGCCGCGUGAGUGAUGAAGGUCUUCGGAUCGUAAAACUCUGUUAUUAGGGAAGAACAAAUGUGUAAGUAACUAUGCACGUCUUGACGGUACCUAAUCAGAAAGCCACGGCUAACUACGUG